RNAcentral lists this ribosomal RNA (253 nucleotides) under uncultured bacterium. RNAcentral's name for it is "partial 16S ribosomal RNA". It matches the Rfam family "Bacterial small subunit ribosomal RNA", at positions 524 to 776 of the family's 1533-position model. The record is from RNAcentral.
UACGUAGGGGGCGAGCGUUGUCCGGAGUUACUGGGCGUAAAGGGCACGCAGGCGGUGCGGCGCGUUUCGCGUGACAGCGGAAGGCUUAACUCUCCGAGGAUGCGAAAGACGGCGGCACUUGAGGGCCAGAGAGGGACACGGAAUUCCGGGUGGAGUGGUGAAAUGCGUAGAGAUCCGGAGGAACACCGAAGGCGAAGGCAGUGUCCUGGCUGGUGACUGACGCUGAGGUGCGAAAGCUAGGGGAGCGAACGGG